This 31-nucleotide non-coding RNA is filed under the name Mus musculus (house mouse). The record is from RNAcentral. Lineage: Eukaryota; Metazoa; Chordata; Mammalia; Rodentia; Muridae.
UAAACUUGGAUUGUUGUCCAAAGUAUGCCCC